Non-coding RNA from Anas platyrhynchos (mallard), 2589 nucleotides. NCBI's taxonomy places the organism in Eukaryota, Metazoa, Chordata, Aves, Anseriformes, Anatidae. The record is from the annotation of a RefSeq genome assembly.
CGCUCCCUCAAAGGAAGUUGUGGGGAGCUGUGGGCCGGCCUGUUCUCGCUGAUAACGAGCGAUAGGACAAGAGGGGCCGCGGCCCCGCGGGGGGCGGUGUGGGCCGGGCGUGGGCGGGCGGAGCGGUGGGCGCUGCCCCGGCGAGGGCCCGACUUGUGGUGCGGGCAGGAGCGGCCCGAGCUUGGCCCCGCUCUGCUGCUGUCCGCCUCCCGCCGGGCGCGGCAGGGCCCGAUGGCGGGCGGGCUGGGGCCGCGGCUGCUGGCCUUGGCCUUGGCCUUGGGGCCGGCAGGUGUUUGGGCUGAAUUGAAGCUCGUGGAGUCUGGCGGAGGUCUGCAAGCAGCUGGAAACUCCAUGCAGCUCUCCUGCCAGGGAUCUGGACUCAGUUUCGAGUAUUAUGAUGUCUGGUGGUACCGUCAGGCACCCGGUGGUAAUCUUGAAUGGAUGUCUUACCUUAACUAUGAUGGUAGCACUGUAGAAUAUAGCAAAGCAGUGGAGGGCCGAGCCAGUGUCUCCCGGGACAAUUCCCAGUCCAAGUCUUCUCUGUCCCUGAGUGCCCUGGAACCCCAGGACUCAGCCUACUACUUUUGUGCAGUUCCCACAGGGACAGGAAAUCCAGCUGAGCUUUAACACAAACCUAGUGCCAGGGCCCCUUGCCUUCUCUAAGUGUGACACUGCCACAGAGAGGAGCAGCAGAACUGUAUUCAGCUUCUGAAGAGUUGCCUGCAGGGGCACAUAGAAUCAGCAGCAGUGUCAGGGGCAAAUGGCCAGGUCAGGUGGAGUGCAGGAAGAAGAGCUGCACAGGCUUCCUCAUGAAAGGAAGUGCCAAGUGCUGAUCUUCGGUCCUAACAACCCCAUUCUGUAGGCAUUGACAGAUGUAACAAUCCCAUUCAGGCUUGGGGAAGAGUGGAUAGAAAGUGUCCUGACAGAAAAGGAGGACCUGAGGGUUUUGUUUGACAGCCAGCUGAACACGAGCCAGCAGUGUGUCCCAUGGCCAAGAAGGCCAAUGGCAUCCUGACCUGCAUCAGAAACAGUGUGGCCAUCAGGACUAGGGAAGUGCUUGUCCUGCUUAAGCCCCAUUUUGAUGAUUUUGUGAAUCCUCCCUAUCACAUCACCCCAUGCCUUCUGCUCAGCGGCUGCAUCAGUCACUCCCUCACAGGGCUUCUGGUUAUUCUCUCCUUUUCCCCCUUCUUUAUAGUUUAAAGCCCUCCUCAGGAGGUCUGCCAUCCCCUCAGUAGGAACGUUUUUCCAUGCUGUGUGAGACUGGGGCAACGUAAGGCAGCCAGGGCUAGAAGCCUGUGGCUGCUGGUGUGACACACUCCUCCCCACUGCUCACUGCCCCAUGCUCACCUCUUCCUCCACCAAGGAAUCCUCAGGCCUGUGAGAAGCAGGAUGGACACUCAGUGGUAUGUUAUUUUUUAUCCUAUGCAUGACAGGAUUUGUUAGGUAAGGUUGAUGGUUGGACUUGAUGAUCUUACAGGUCUUUUCUAGCCUUAAUGAUUCUACAGUUCUGUGAUUUCCAUGCAUGUCACCAUCUGGGGAUGCAGGCUACUUGUCAAUGACUAUAGCAUCUCAUGAUACCAGCAGGUACACAGGUCCACAUUCCUCUUGUUCUCUCAAGAACAAACAUUCCUUUUCCUACACCUUAUGGAAGGCUGCCAUAUGUGGGUGUGCAGCCCACCACCUCCCGGGACAGUUUCUAGGUGUUGAAAUGUAUUGUCCUGCAUGCCCUGCAUCCACAGGUCUCCACUUGCUACCUCUGUGCUGCCCCAAUGGGGACAGAAAGCUGAGGUUUUCCCUGAAACGAACCUCCUGAUGGGGCUUCUCACUCUUUCCAUGCUCACUCACAUGCUCCAGCAAAGGGGCGAGGCAGGAUGUGGGCUGGGACAGAUUGCAGCUGUGACGUGCUGCCAGAGCAUGAUGCACCAGUAGAGGGGUGUCCAGGGAUUCUCUCAGGUAGUGGAACUACUCAAGAAAUCCCUCAUUACAAGUGAGCCAGAAUGCUGGUUUUGUCUAGGAUAGAGUUAAUUUUCCUCCAAGUGUCUGGUAGGGUGCUGUGUCUUGUACUUAGGGUGAAAAUAAUGUUGAUAACACACUGAUGAUGUAAUUGCUGCAGAGCAGUGCUUACACUAAGCCAAGGACUUUUCAGCUUCUCACGCUCUCCUGCCAGUGGCCAGGCUGGGGAUGCAGCAGGAGCUGUGAUGGGACAGAACCAGGAGAGCUGACCCGAUCUGUCCAAAGGGAUAUUCCAUACCACUGAAAUUCCCCUGAACAAUUAAUAUGGGGUGGCUGGCGGGGAUGGGGACACUGGCUGCUUGGGGAUAGGUUGGGCAUCAGUCAGCGGGUGGUGAGCAAUUGCAUUCUGCAUCACUUUUGUAUGUACUCUUAAUAGUAGUACUUUCAUUUUCAUCAUCAUUAUUGUUAUUAUCUUCCCUUUUCUAUUCCAUUAAAUGGUCUCCAGGUCCACCCACAAGCCUUCAGUUUAAUUUUUAUUUUAUUUUAUCCCCCAUUCCAGAGAAGGAAGGAGGAGUGUGAUUGAAUGGCUAUGUUUUUACAUCUGCACUGCUUCUAGUACGUUCUAUUUACUGAUUC